UACGUAGGGUGCGAGCGUUAAUCGGAAUUACUGGGCGUAAAGCGUGCGUAGGCGGUUGCACAAGCUUGAUGUGAAAGCCCCGGGCUUAACCUGGGAAUGGCAUUGAGGACUGUGUGGCUUGAGUGCGGCAGAGGGAGGUGGAAUUCCACGUGUAGCAGUGAAAUGCGUAGAUAUCGUCUGGAACGCCAAUGGUGAAGACAGCUCGCUGGGGGUGCGCUGACGCUGAGACACGAAAGCCAGGGGAGCGAACGGG
This 253-nucleotide ribosomal RNA is filed under the name uncultured bacterium. RNAcentral's name for it is "partial 16S ribosomal RNA". It matches the Rfam family "Bacterial small subunit ribosomal RNA", at positions 524 to 776 of the family's 1533-position model. The record is from RNAcentral.